This 1185-nucleotide ribosomal RNA is filed under the name Amitermes obeuntis. Its description in RNAcentral is "16S ribosomal RNA". The stretch from base 738 to 1108 matches the Rfam family "Archaeal large subunit ribosomal RNA", at positions 2150 to 2716 of the family's 2987-position model. Lineage: Eukaryota; Metazoa; Arthropoda; Insecta; Blattodea; Termitidae. The record is from RNAcentral.
UUAUUGGUUUUUUUUGUUGUUUAUUUUUGUGGUAUUUAAUUAUUUAAUUGAAGAAUCAUUGUGGUUAUUGUAUUUUUUUGAUUUAAUUUUUUAAGCGAUAGUUUAUUUGUACUGUGAAGGGUUGAUAAAUAUUUUUUUGGAAGUAGAUUUUGUUUGUCGUACCUUGUGUAUCAGGGUUCAUUGAAUUUUAUUAUUUAUUUUUGUUUCCCGAUUUUGAAGGAGUUAAUGAUUUAUAUUAGUUACUGUUUCAUUAGUAUUAAUAAUAGGUUGUUGGUAGUGAAAUGUUAUUCGUCUUCGGAGGUUUCUGGUUUUUCAAGAAAUGAAUUUAAUUCAUGCAUUUUAUUUAAUUUCUGUUGUUUAUUUAUUAAUUUUUAUUUUAUGCUAAGAUUAAGGGGGAUUAGCUCCUUAUUUUAUUUUUAUAAUUUGUUGUCUUCAAUUUGGUUUUGUGGAUUUUAUAGUGAUUUUCAAUUUGAUUAUGUUAAAAUUUUAUUAUUUUCUUUUGUUUAUUUGCUUUAUAAAUUUAAUUUGUUUAUUGAAAUGUUUGCUUUAUCUUUGGUUAGUAUAGUAAUUAUUGUGUAAUUAGUAAAUUUUGUUUUUAUGUUGUUUUGUUUAUGGGAUGUUAAUUUCUUUUAAGGAAUUAGGCAANNNNNNNNNNNNNNNNNNNNUGACGAGACAUAAGCUGUCUUAUGAGUAUUGUUUAUUGAAUUUGGUUUUUGAGUUAAAAUUCUUAGAUGUUUUUAUGGGACGAGAAGACCCUAUAGAGUUUGACAUUUAGUUCUUAUUGAUUUGUUUUGUUUGUUAUUUUGUUUUUAAUAGGUUAAGUGUUUUGUUGGGGUGAUGGGAGGAAUGUUUUUAACUCCUCUUUGUUUUUAUAUAUUUAUUUAUAUUAUUUUGAUCCAUUUAUUUUGAUUAUAAGAUUAAAUUACCUUAGGGAUAACAGCGUUAUCUUCCUUGAGAGUUCUUAUUGGCAGGGGGGUUUGCGACCUCGAUGUUGGAUUAAGGUGAAUUUUCGGUGCAGGAGCUGAAAUUGAUUAGGUCUGUUCGACCUUUAAAAUCUUACAUGAUCUGAGUUCAGACCGGCGUGAGCCAGGUUGGUUUCUAUCUAUAAUAUAAUUUUAUACCUUAGUACGAGAGGACCGGGUAUUUGGAAUAAUUUUAUUUGUAUAUGAUUAUUAUUAAUAUAUU